This 72-nucleotide transfer RNA is filed under the name Solanum lycopersicum (tomato). It matches the Rfam family "tRNA". From Rfam's summary of the family: Transfer RNA (tRNA) molecules are approximately 80 nucleotides in length. Their secondary structure includes four short double-helical elements and three loops (D, anti-codon, and T loops). Further hydrogen bonds mediate the characteristic L-shaped molecular structure. tRNAs have two regions of fundamental functional importance: the anti-codon, which is responsible for specific mRNA codon recognition, and the 3' end, to which the tRNAs corresponding amino acid is attached (by aminoacyl-tRNA synthetases). tRNAs cope with the degeneracy of the genetic code in two manners: having more than one tRNA (with a specific anti-codon) for a particular amino acid; and 'wobble' base-pairing, i.e. permitting non-standard base-pairing at the 3rd anti-codon position. The record is from Rfam by way of RNAcentral. Lineage: Eukaryota; Viridiplantae; Streptophyta; Magnoliopsida; Solanales; Solanaceae.
GCACUUGUAGUCCAACGGUUAGGAUAAUUGCCUUCCAAGAAAUAGACCCUGGUUUGACUCCUGGUAGAUGCA